Molecule: non-coding RNA, 1377 nt
Organism: Pelobates cultripes (western spadefoot toad)
Lineage: Eukaryota; Metazoa; Chordata; Amphibia; Anura; Pelobatidae
Source: the annotation of a GenBank genome assembly
GGGCAGUCUACAGAUCAGGUAAGUGAGGGAUUGGGGGGCAGCCUACAGAUCAGGUAAGUGAGGGAUGGGGGCAGUCUACAGAUCAGAUAAGUGAGGGAUGGUGGGCAUCCUACAGAUCAGUUAAGUGAGGGAUGGGCGUAUCCUACAGAUCAGGUAAGUGAGUGAUUGGGGGCCAGUCUACAGAUCAGGUAAGUGAGGGAUGGGGGACCAGUCUACAGAUCAGGUAAGUGAGGGACGGGGGGCAGCCUACAGAUCAGAUAAGUGAGGGAUGGGGGGCAGCCUACAGGUCAGAUAAGUGAGACAUGGGAGGGGGCAGCCUACAGAUCAGGUAAGUGAGACAUAGGGAGGACAGCCUACAGAUCAGGUAAGUGAGGGAUUGGGGCAGCCUACAGAUCAGGUAAGUGAGGGAUGGGGUGACAGUCUACAAAUCAGGUAAGUGAGGGAUGGGGGAAGCCUACAGAUUAGGUAAGUGAGGGCUGGGGGCAGCCUACAGAUCAGGUAAGUGAGGGAUGGGGGGAGACAGCCUACAGGAAGGUAAAGUAGAAGGAGCAGAAAUGAGAAGAAAGGUUCUGCAAGGGGCAGGAGGGGUCAGCAAGGAAUAGGAAGGAACAGGAAGUGGCAGCAAGAAGCAGGAAGGGGUAUGAAAGGUUUGCAAGGAGCAGGAGGGUGAAGUAGAAGGAGCAGAAAUGAACAGGAAGGGGCAGCAAGGAGCAGGAAGGGUCAGAAAGGAGCAGGAGGGGUCAGCAAGGAGCAUGAAGGGGCAGCAAGGAGAAAGAAGGGGCAGCAAGGAGCUGGAAGAGGCAGAAGGAAUCAGAAGGAGCACAAAGGUAAAGGAGCAGAAAGAAUCAGAAGGAGCACAAAGGUAAAGUAGGAGAAGGAACAGAAAGGGUCCACAAUGAACAGAAAGGGUCUACAUGGAACAGAAAGGGUCAGCAAAGAGCUGGAAGGGGCAGAAAGAAGCGGGAAAGGGAAGCAUGAAGGAGAAAGGGUCUGCAAUGAGCAGAAAUGAGCAGGAAGGGAAAUCAAGGAGCAGAAAGGGUCAACAAUUAUCUGGAAAGGGCAGAAGGAGCACAAAGUAGGAAAAGGAACAGAAAUGAGCAGCAAGGAGCAGGAAGGGUCUGCAAGAAGCAGGAGGGCGCAGAAAGGGGCAGCAAGGAGCAGGAAGGGGCUGCAAGGAGAAGGAAGGGUCUGCAAGGAGCAGAAAGGGAGCAGAAAGAGAAAGGAGCAGAAGGGCGUAAAAUAGGCAGAAAGUAGCAGAAAGGUAAUGGAGCAGAAGGUGCCAACGAGGAGAGAAGACCGUGUCAGAAGAAAAAGAAGACUGUGUCAAAUGAAGGAGAAGAAAAUGAGAUAAGAGCAGGAAGGACAAGUGAAGUGAUC